This is a long non-coding RNA of Dendroctonus ponderosae (mountain pine beetle), 2478 nucleotides long. RefSeq lists it as uncharacterized. Lineage: Eukaryota; Metazoa; Arthropoda; Insecta; Coleoptera; Curculionidae. The transcript is spliced from 6 exons. The record is from RefSeq and is a predicted model, not a curated record.
UUAUGGAAAACAUGCAAUCGUGAAAAAUUAUCGGUAAUUUCAAAGCACUCGUGGUAUUACCCCCGAUAAGCUAAAAUUGUCAGUGCGAAUCAUUCACUUAUGAGUCAUAUUUUAAGGACGGAAUGACCUUAAAAUAAUCUAUCAAUUACCACGAGUGAAAACUUGAAUUGCAAUUUGGUUUAAGCGGCAUUGAAUUUGCCAAUGCUAGAACCAACCCUCAAUAUCGAACUGUUCAGUAUUGGUAUGACGAGUGGAGGAAACUUUAUUUGGGACGUCGGUUUGGCUUGGAAACCCUUGAGAACGUGAUAAUAAUAUUGUUGUAAAUAACAUUAAAAGUGAGGAUGUGGAUGAAGCCAUGAAAUAAUUUGGGGCUCCAAGGUACACCUUCGAUAAGAGGAAUCCCUUUGACCUAACAGAUCAUAAAUUUGUUAAACUCUUUAGAAUAUCCAAAAAUCUUUGCCGAGAGUUGGUGGAGAGCCUACAAGUGAAUCAGCUUUGUCAAUAAGGACAAAGGUUUUAGCGACGCUCAGAUUUUUUGAAACCGGUAGUUACCAAGAAGUCACUAUAUCAAAUAGCUUUGUCGGGAUUAGUCAAGCAUCAGUAAGCAGGGCUAUAACAAAAGUAUCCAAUGCUCUGAACGAAGCUCCUAUUGAAAAUCGUAUAAUUAAAUAUCAGCAAACAAUUGCAGAUUUGGAAGCAUUAAGGACAAGCUUCUAUGAAAAACGUGGAAUGCCAGGAGUAUGUGGGUGUAUAGAUUGUACCCAUUGCUAUUAUGGUUCCUCAUAACAAUGAUCCUAAUUUUCCGGAGCAUGUUUAUGUAAAUAGGAAAAAUUAUCAUUCCAUAAAAGUGCAAUUCGUGUGUGACUUAAAUCUUAAAAUAUUUAAUGUCAACUUCAAAUUUCCACUGGCGGCUAAACGUAGGAAUACGAUCCCUUUAAUGCGCAUGCGCGGACUCUAAGCGAUCAGAUGUUUAUUUUCAGAUUUGCUGUUUUGUUGAUUGAGGUUAGCAUUUUCCUUAAUUCGUGUGUAAAGGCUACAGGGUGUUCGAAAUUCUUUCAUACGUUACUCCAGAAAAAUGAAUAUGGAUUGUUUAUGCCGCAAUUAAGUUUUCGAAAUUUGAAUUUUGGACGAAAUCCAGGCACAAGCCAGUAUAAUAACAUUUAUCAAUAAUAUGAAAGUACUAGGAACUCGCAUGCUUAAUAGGAACUUUGGAAUUUGAUAUUGCCUUUGCACGCCUUAGCUGGGAAGGCCGAAUUGCAGAAGAAACAGGCACCAAUUUUGGAAGGUCGAUAGGUUUAAUAUAAAUACAUAAUAACAGAGCCAAGUACUUGUCUCUGCAUAAUAAUAGAUUUCAAAUACCGACAUUGUUAAAUACGAAAUAUGAACAUGAACGGCAUAGAUUAAGAGUGAGAUAGAUAGCGCCUACUCCACUGUUAAUCACCCAGCUGAUCAGCAGCUAAAAUCUGCAGUUAACGCAUGCGCAUCAAUGGGAUCGUAUUCCUACGUUUAGCCGCCAGUCAAAUUUCCAGGCUCAUGUCGUGACUGUCAUAUAUGAAGGCAAGCUCCUGUGUCAGAUUUAAUGGAAACCGUACAAAGGAGAAAUCCUAAGAAUAUGUUCUUUCUCUUGGGCGACUCAAGUUAUCCAACUCGUCUCUGGUUAUUAACGCCUAUUAAUAAUGCUUGCUCAUUCAUGAACUUGGACGAAGCACGGUUUAAUGACAGACUAUGCUCUAUUCGCUCUGUAAUUGAGAGGCGUAAUGGGGUGCUGAAGAAUCGCUUUUGAUGUCUUCUGCGUUAUCGCACUCUUCAUUACAGUCCCUCAAUGGCAAUCAAAAUACAAACGCUUGUUGCACUUUGCACAAUUUAUGCAUUGCGAAUAGAGAACCUGAGGUUGAAGAGUUACACCCCGUGGAACCGGAUUAUGGCAUGUAUGCUGAUAAUUAGUUCAAUUUUGUAAGACCUACUGCCAACAUAGAUCUAGCUGCUGCUAGAGCGCUACAGCAAAAUAUUAUAAAUACUCAUUUAAUUAGGUACUAAAAUAAGUUUGGGUGCGGAUAAAACUGAAUAAAAUUAAUAAACAAGUUGUGUAUUAUAGCGCGUUAUUUCGUAUUUGAACAGAGGCCACAAUCUGUUCAAAUACGAAAUUACACACUAUAAUACGAAAUUUGUUAAUUCAGUUAUAAAAUUAAUGUUGAUAUUAAUAUGUAAUUUCUAGGUAUUGAUACAUUCGGUAAGCUUAACAUCUUCACAAGAUGUGUAAUGCCUUGGUGGGAGCUGCUCAUUAAAUGUCUGCUGAUCAGCGCUUCGUAUCAAAUCAAUUUCUACAUCCGUGUUGUUCAAAUUGUAUCGGCGAAGCGCAAGAUAUUUGACGGAUGUAUUGCAUUUUCGAAGAUAAAAAGUUGGUUGGAUGUCCAGUAAUGUUAUGGUUUAUUGACUUCCGUUUUAGAGUUGUACCUAAUAUAUUUACAUUGUAAAAUU